This is a non-coding RNA of Acanthosepion pharaonis, 87 nucleotides long. Lineage: Eukaryota; Metazoa; Mollusca; Cephalopoda; Sepiida; Sepiidae. The record is from the annotation of a GenBank genome assembly.
UGCUCCCGUACGAUCAUAGAAGUUAAGCAACUUCGAGCCUGGUCAGUACCUAGAUAGGUGACAACUUGGGAAUAUCAGAUGCUGUAA